RNAcentral lists this ribosomal RNA (253 nucleotides) under uncultured bacterium. RNAcentral describes it as "partial 16S ribosomal RNA". It matches the Rfam family "Bacterial small subunit ribosomal RNA", at positions 524 to 776 of the family's 1533-position model. The record is from RNAcentral.
UACGUAGGUGGCAAGCGUUGUCCGGAUUUACUGGGUGUAAAGGGCGUGCAGGCGGCGCGCCAAGUCUGAUGUGAAACCCCGGGGCUCAACCCCGGGCAUGCAUUGGAAACUGGCGGGCUGGAGUGCCGGAGAGGUAAGCGGAAUUCCUAGUGUAGCGGUGAAAUGCGUAGAUAUUAGGAGGAACACCAGUGGCGAAGGCGGCUUACUGGACGGCAACUGACGCUGAGGCUCGAAAGCGUGGGGAGCAAACAGG